Molecule: non-coding RNA, 157 nt
Filed under: Robiginitomaculum sp.
Lineage: Bacteria; Pseudomonadati; Pseudomonadota; Alphaproteobacteria; Maricaulales; Robiginitomaculaceae
Description: 6S RNA
Rfam family: 6S / SsrS RNA
About the family: E. coli 6S RNA was the first non coding RNA to be sequenced, but its function was unknown until recently.
Source: RNAcentral
CGGCGGCUGCGGAGCAUGUGAGAGACACGUAUCCUGGAGCCCUUAACUUAAACCUUAGGGAGCUGCCUCUGUUAAGACCGUGGUCUUAUUACGCGGUGCCCACCUGAACUAUUGGUUCACGAGGUUACACCCGUCUCCACGGUUUUGUGGUCGCCGA